UCCCUGGUGGUCUAGUGGUUAGGACUCCUGGUUUUCACCCAGGCAGCCUGGGUUUAGAAUCCGGGUUAUGGGA
Molecule: transfer RNA, 73 nt
Filed under: Callithrix jacchus (white-tufted-ear marmoset)
Lineage: Eukaryota; Metazoa; Chordata; Mammalia; Primates; Cebidae
Rfam family: tRNA
About the family: Transfer RNA (tRNA) molecules are approximately 80 nucleotides in length.
Source: Rfam by way of RNAcentral